UCAAAGAUUAAGCCAUGCAUGUCUAAGUAUAAGCAAUUAUACGGCGAAACUGCGAAUGGCUCAUUAUAUAAGUUAUCGUUUAUUUGAUAGUACCUCACUACUUGGAUAACUGUGGUAAUUCUAGAGCUAAUACAUGCUAAAAAUCCCAACUUCGGAAGGGAUGUAUUUAUUAGAUUAAAAACCAAUGCCCUCUGGGCUCUCUGGUGAUUCAUGAUAACUUCUCGAAUCGCAUGGCCUUGCGCCGGCGAUGGUUCAUUCAAAUUUCUUCCCUAUCAACUUUCGAUGUUUGGGUAGUGGCCAAACAUGGUUGCAACGGGUAACGGAGGGUUAGGGCUCGACCCCGGAGAAGGAGCCUGAGAAACGGCUACUACAUCCAAGGAAGGCAGCAGGCGCGCAAAUUACCCAAUCCCGAUUCGGGGAGGUAGUGACAAUAAAUACUGAUACAGGGCUCUUUUGGGUCUUGUAAUCGGAAUGAGUACAAUUUAAAUCCCUUAACGAGGAACAAUUGGAGGGCAAGUCUGGUGCCAGCAGCCGCGGUAAUUCCAGCUCCAAUAGCGUAUAUUAAAGUUGUUGUGGUUAAAAAGCUCGUAGUUGAACCUUGGGCCUGGCUGGCCGGUCCGCCUCACCGCGUGUACUGGUCCGGCCGGGCCUUUCCCUCUGUGGAACCCCAUGCCCUUCACUGGGUGUGGCGGGGAAACAGGACUUUUACUUUGAAAAAAUUAGAGUGCUCCAGGCAGGCCUAUGCUCGAAUACAUUAGCAUGGAAUAAUGAAAUAGGACGUGCGGUUCUAUUUUGUUGGUUUCUAGGACCGCCGUAAUGAUUAAUAGGGACAGUCGGGGGCAUCAGUAUUCAAUUGUCAGAGGUGAAAUUCUUGGAUUUAUUGAAGACUAACUACUGCGAAAGCAUUUGCCAAGGAUGUUUUCAUUAAUCAGGAACGAAAGUUAGGGGAUCGAAGACGAUCAGAUACCGUCGUAGUCUUAACCAUAAACUAUGCCGACUAGGGAUCGGACGAUGUUAAUUUUUGACUCGUUCGGCACCUUACGAGAAAUCAAAGUGCUUGGGCUCCAGGGGGAG
RNAcentral lists this ribosomal RNA (1074 nucleotides) under Balansia epichloe. RNAcentral's name for it is "SSU rRNA". It matches the Rfam family "Eukaryotic small subunit ribosomal RNA", at positions 37 to 1123 of the family's 1831-position model. Lineage: Eukaryota; Fungi; Ascomycota; Sordariomycetes; Hypocreales; Clavicipitaceae. The record is from RNAcentral.